Molecule: ribosomal RNA, 392 nt
Filed under: grassland soil clone saf3_119
Lineage: Bacteria
Description: bacterial SSU rRNA
Rfam family: Bacterial small subunit ribosomal RNA
Source: RNAcentral
AACACAUGCAAGUCGAACGGACUCUUCGGAUUAGUGGCGGACGGGUGAGUAACACGUGGGAACGUGCCUUUUGGUUCGGAAUAGCUCCUGGAAACGGGUGGUAAUGCCGAAUGUGCCCUUUGGGGGAAAGAUUUAUCGCCAUUAGAGCGACCCGCGUCUGAUUAGCUAGUUGGUGAGGUAAAGGCUCACCAAGGCUACGAUCAGUAGCUGGUCUGAGAGGAUGACCAGCCACAUUGGGACUGAGACACGGCCCAAACUCCUACGGGAGGCAGCAGUGGGGAAUCUUGCGCAAUGGGCGAAAGCCUGACGCAGCCAUGCCGCGUGAAUGAUGAAGGUCUUAGGAUUGUAAAAUUCUUUCACCGGGGACGAUAAUGACGUACCCGGAGAAGAAG